AUCUCCUUGUGUAAACAUGCCUGGGUGGAGGAUUGAACCUGUGUUUGUGAACACCCCCCUUGCUGCAGAUCAAAAAGCUGAUUUGAUGAUGCCUCUGUGACACCAGGAUUUGUAUUUUAAAUGGAAAUUUCUUGCCAUGUGAUGACAAUCACAGCAGAGACAGAAAAGGGUUCCCUGGUUCUGGGCUCUGUGGUUCCCAAGCUCCACAAAUAGGCAGUAAAUUAUUACAGUCACACUGAAGUGUGACCUUAAUAGCCCUAAAUGCUUCCAGUGUGUAUAACGAUGUGAUAGGAUCGUCAUGUGGGUUUUGCUAGUGCAGUGCCACAGGGAAGGAAAUGAAGUCAGCCAGAGGUGUCUGAAGAGUCCAAACCUUGUCAGACUCACAGAUGGUAACUACAGAGUGAUGAGGGGAAGCCUGAAUCUUUCUUCUGUCUGUACUUAGCACCUCUGUAAAAUCACCUGAGAGGUAUACAUGAGGUAUUCCUUGCUGUGGGGCUGAUAGAAGGUGCACUGACUAAAAGCGAAGACAUGGCCGUGAUCUUUGUAGAUGCCCACAGCCUCAGUCCAGGAGAUUCUUCAGAAAAGUUUACAAGAGCCAUGAAUUGUGCUCUUUCUUACAGGAAGUGCACUUUGCCUCAGAAAGUUCUUUCUUUUCUUACCUCAGCAGUGUGUUUUCAGCCUAUCUGCUGAGCACCCAGAUGUGCCAGGCUGCAAUCCAUGGAUGGCAAAACCUCAUAGUUCCACAGUUUUUGGUACUUGAUCCUUGAUUUUUGUCUUUUCUACAGAAAAACUUAAUAGACUAUGGACCUGGCAUGUUUAAAUCUCUGAUCUGGCCUGGUUACAACUGGGAUCAUUCACAUCUCUAUCCUGCAUGGAGGGACUGCUGCAAAAAUUCAGAGAUAAGUAACCAGACAACCCAGCAGCUCAGAUGUGAGGGCCUGAGCUCUUGGUCAGGAGCCGUGUGUGGCAGAGGAGGAAAAACGUGCAGCUCAUUCAUGGGGAUGCUGCGUGGAGCUGCCCUGGAAGAGCCUGUGGGUGUUUGCUGAAUGCUUCGUAAUUAAGCUGAUUCUGGGCAUCCUGAUUAUAAUUUCAGGGAGAUGUGGAACAUCCUGCAAAUACUUGCAUAAACAUCUGAUUCCUAGGACACACGCGAGCAGGGUCUGUAUGGGUGUAUGGGAGGGAAGGGGAAGCAGCCUGACUAGUGAGUGUUUUGAGAGCAAGAAUAAAUAGGUGCUGUUGCAUCUGUGACA
This 1250-nucleotide long non-coding RNA is filed under the name Zonotrichia albicollis (white-throated sparrow). RNAcentral's name for it is "lncRNA (ENSZALG00000018093.1)". The record is from RNAcentral. Lineage: Eukaryota; Metazoa; Chordata; Aves; Passeriformes; Passerellidae.